Molecule: transfer RNA, 71 nt
Filed under: Bacillus anthracis (anthrax bacterium)
Lineage: Bacteria; Bacillati; Bacillota; Bacilli; Caryophanales; Bacillaceae
Also listed under: 2 other names
Description: tRNA-Gly
Rfam family: tRNA
About the family: Transfer RNA (tRNA) molecules are approximately 80 nucleotides in length. Their secondary structure includes four short double-helical elements and three loops (D, anti-codon, and T loops).
Source: RNAcentral
CGGAAGUAGUUCAGUGGUAGAAUACAACCUUGCCAAGGUUGGGGUCGCGGGUUCGAAUCCCGUCUUCCGCU